Molecule: ribosomal RNA, 1346 nt
Filed under: uncultured bacterium
Lineage: Bacteria
Description: partial 16S ribosomal RNA
Rfam family: Bacterial small subunit ribosomal RNA
Source: RNAcentral
GACGAACGCUUGCGGCGUGCUUAACACAUGCAAGUCGAACGGAAAGGCCCUGCUUUUGUGGGGUGCUCGAGUGGCGAACGGGUGAGUAACACGUGAGUAACCUGCCCUUGACUUUGGGAUAACUUCAGGAAACUGGGGCUAAUACCGGAUAGGAGCUCCUGCUGCAUGGUGGGGGUUGGAAAGUUUCGGCGGUUGGGGAUGGACUCGCGGCUUAUCAGCUUGUUGGUGGGGUAGUGGCUUACCAAGGCUUUGACGGGUAGCCGGCCUGAGAGGGUGACCGGCCACAUUGGGACUGAGAUACGGCCCAGACUCCUACGGGAGGCAGCAGUGGGGAAUAUUGCACAAUGGGCGGAAGCCUGAUGCAGCAACGCCGCGUGCGGGAUGACGGCCUUCGGGUUGUAAACCGCUUUCGCCUGUGACGAAGCGUGAGUGACGGUAAUGGGUAAAGAAGCACCGGCUAACUACGUGCCAGCAGCCGCGGUGAUACGUAGGGUGCGAGCGUUGUCCGGAUUUAUUGGGCGUAAAGGGCUCGUAGGUGGUUGAUCGCGUCGGAAGUGUAAUCUUGGGGCUUAACCCUGAGCGUGCUUUCGAUACGGGUUGACUUGAGGAAGGUAGGGGAGAAUGGAAUUCCUGGUGGAGCGGUGGAAUGCGCAGAUAUCAGGAGGAACACCAGUGGCGAAGGCGGUUCUCUGGGCCUUUCCUGACGCUGAGGAGCGAAAGCGUGGGGAGCGAACAGGCUUAGAUACCCUGGUAGUCCACGCUGUAAACGGUGGGUACUAGGUGUGGGGUCCAUUCCACGGGUUCCGUGCCGUAGCUAACGCUUUAAGUACCCCGCCUGGGGAGUACGGCCGCAAGGCUAAAACUCAAAGGAAUUGACGGGGCCCCGCACAAGCGGCGGAGCAUGCGGAUUAAUUCGAUGCAACGCGUAGAACCUUACCUGGGUUUGACAUGGAUCGGGAGUGCUCAGAGAUGGGUGUGCCUCUUUUGGGGUCGGUUCACAGGUGGUGCAUGGCUGUCGUCAGCUCGUGUCGUGAGAUGUUGGGUUAAGUCCCGCAACGAGCGCAACCCUUGUUCACUGUUGCCAGCACGUUAUGGUGGGGACUCAGUGGAGACCGCCGGGGUCAACUCGGAGGAAGGUGGGGAUGACGUCAAGUCAUCAUGCUCCUUAUGUCCAGGGCUUCACGCAUGCUACAAUGGCUGGUACAGAGAGUGGCGAGCCUGUGAGGGUGAGCGAAUCUCGGAAAGCCGGUCUCAGUUCGGAUUGGGGUCUGCAACUCGACCUCAUGAAGUCGGAGUCGCUAGUAAUCGCAGAUCAGCAACGCUGCGGUGAAUACGUUCCCGGGGCU